UACGUAGGGUGCGAGCGUUAAUCAGAAUUACUGGGCGUAAAGUGUGCGCAGGCGGCGCCGCAAGUCGAGUGUGAAAGCCCCGAGCUUAACUUGGGAAUUGCGCUCGAAACUAUGGUGCUGGAGUGUGGCAGAGGAAGGUGGAAUUCCACGUGUAGCGGUGAAAUGCGUAGAGAUGUGGAGGAACACCGAUGGCGAAGGCAGCCUUCUGGGCCAACACUGACGCUCAUGCACGAAAGCGUGGGGAGCAAACAGG
This 253-nucleotide ribosomal RNA is filed under the name uncultured bacterium. RNAcentral's name for it is "partial 16S ribosomal RNA". It matches the Rfam family "Bacterial small subunit ribosomal RNA", at positions 524 to 776 of the family's 1533-position model. The record is from RNAcentral.